AUUGAACGCUGGCGGCAUGCCUUACACAUGCAAGUCGAACGGCAGCACGGGUGCUUGCACCUGGUGGCGAGUGGCGAACGGGUGAGUAAUACAUCGGAACGUACCUUAUCGUGGGGGAUAACGCAGCGAAAGCUGUGCUAAUACCGCAUACGCCCUGAGGGGGAAAGCGGGGGAUCGAAAGACCUCGCGCGAUUAGAGCGGCCGAGGCCUGAUUAGCUUGUUGGUGGGGUAAAAGCCCACCAAGGCGACGAUCAGUAGCUGGUCUGAGAGGACGGGCAACCACACUGAGACUGAGGCCCGCCCCGGAUGCCAACGGGAGCCAGCAGGGGGGAAUUUUGAAGAAGGGGGGCAACCUGGAUCCAGCAAUGCCGGGUGAGUGAAGAAGGCCUUCGGGUUGUAAAGCUCUUUUGUCAGGGAAGAAACACCGGCUCUAACACAGUCCGGAAAUGACGGACCGGAAGAAUAAGCACCGGCUAACUACGUGCAAGCCGCCGCGGUAA
Molecule: ribosomal RNA, 500 nt
Filed under: uncultured bacterium
Lineage: Bacteria
Description: partial 16S ribosomal RNA
Rfam family: Bacterial small subunit ribosomal RNA
Source: RNAcentral